RNAcentral lists this ribosomal RNA (796 nucleotides) under uncultured Staphylococcus sp. RNAcentral's name for it is "bacterial SSU rRNA". It matches the Rfam family "Bacterial small subunit ribosomal RNA", at positions 63 to 841 of the family's 1533-position model. The record is from RNAcentral. Lineage: Bacteria; Bacillati; Bacillota; Bacilli; Caryophanales; Staphylococcaceae.
CGAGCGAACGGACGAGAAGCUUGCUUCUCUGAUGUUAGCGGCGGACGGGUGAGUAACACGUGGAUAACCUACCUAUAAGACUGGGAUAACUUCGGGAAACCGGAGCUAAUACCGGAUGAUAUUUUGAACCGCAUGGUUCAAAAGUGAAAGACGGUCUUGCUGUCACUUAUAGAUGGAUCCGCGCUGCAUUAGCUAGUUGGUAAGGUAACGGCUUACCAAGGCAACGAUGCAUAGCCGACCUGAGAGGGUGAUCGGCCACACUGGAACUGAGACACGGUCCAGACUCCUACGGGAGGCAGCAGUAGGGAAUCUUCCGCAAUGGGCGAAAGCCUGACGGAGCAACGCCGCGUGAGUGAUGAAGGUCUUCGGAUCGUAAAACUCUGUUAUUAGGGAAGAACAUAUGUGUAAGUAACUGUGCACAUCUUGACGGUACCUAAUCAGAAAGCCACGGCUAACUACGUGCCAGCAGCCGCGGUAAUACGUAGGUGGCAAGCGUUAUCCGGAAUUAUUGGGCGUAAAGCGCGCGUAGGCGGUUUUUUAAGUCUGAUGUGAAAGCCCACGGCUCAACCGUGGAGGGUCAUUGGAAACUGGAAAACUUGAGUGCAGAAGAGGAAAGUGGAAUUCCAUGUGUACGGUGAAAUGCGCAGAGAUAUGGAGGAACACCAGUGGCGAAGGCGACUUUCUGGUCUGUAACUGACGCUGAUGUGCGAAAGCGUGGGGAUCAAACAGGAUUAGAUACCCUGGUAGUCCACGCCGUAAACGAUGACGUGCUAAGUGUUAGGGGUUUCCGCCCCUU